Molecule: non-coding RNA, 75 nt
Organism: Siniperca chuatsi (mandarin fish)
Lineage: Eukaryota; Metazoa; Chordata; Actinopteri; Centrarchiformes; Sinipercidae
Source: the annotation of a RefSeq genome assembly
GUCUCUGUGGCGCAAUUGGGCCAGCGCACUCGGCUGUUAACCGAGAGGUUGGUGGUUCAAGCCCACCCAGGGACG